Molecule: long non-coding RNA, 441 nt
Organism: Rhipicephalus sanguineus (brown dog tick)
Lineage: Eukaryota; Metazoa; Arthropoda; Arachnida; Ixodida; Ixodidae
Exons: 3
Source: RefSeq, a predicted model, not a curated record
ACUUCGCUGUUAUCUGCUGUCUGCACUAAAAUGCUGUUUAUUUUCAGGCAAAAGUCUGAAGAAACAAUUCAGGCCGUUAAGAUGUACAAUUACACAAAGGAAAAUGCCAUCAAUUAUACAAUAGUUAAAGGAAACGAAACCAUUACCUUCGAAGACGCUCUUGUUUUCAGUAACGAAGAGUGCGAUAUAUACUACACUGGUGAUGGAGAUUAUGAACUGUGGGUGCCCGAGAACAAAACUAAAGAUAUACCGCCAUGUUGCGACUUCAUGUUUACAUACUUUGCACUCAACAAAACAAUAUACAACAUUUAUAACGAAUCUUGCACAUCGUUAUCUGCUUCAAGCGAGACAAAUUGAAAACAGAAGCGUCAAGUAAUGCAUAGGUCUUUUUGUAGUUGUACAGUUAGGACACAUUUUGGCAAAUUAAAAAAAUACCUGGCA